Molecule: long non-coding RNA, 925 nt
Filed under: Marmota monax (woodchuck)
Lineage: Eukaryota; Metazoa; Chordata; Mammalia; Rodentia; Sciuridae
Source: RNAcentral
ACUCACCAUGUCCGCAGGUGCAGUGAUUGGAGAGCGCUGGCCUGGGGAAGGAGCUGGCUUCUGCCUGGCUGGUUUGGUCCAGAGCACUGGCCUGUUGUACACAUUUGUAACUAACUUGGCUGGGUGUUAUCAGCAGAUUUCAAAUCUGCCUCUCCUCUCUGUGUUCCACUCACUGCUAGAGAUCUCUCUUUUGGGGUUGGCGGGUGGUGUUAAUGAGUCCAUGGACCCAGCUGUUGGAGUUACAGGACUCUGAGAGCCUUGACCAUGUUUGUGGGCACAUCGCUGCACUGCCUAAUUUAUCCUCUUCAGAGUGUGAAGACCGUCAGACCUGAGCUCCCUAUCUUGAUAUUUCUCUGCAAGUCUACCCCUUACCUUUUUCUUCCCUUUUGCUUCAGAGCACAGUUGUUCAGGUCCGUGUUCAAUAAGCACCUACUGUAUGUCGGCAGUGUGGUCGGCACUCAGUGGAUGAGAUCUUCCCUCCCUCCAAAGUUUAUCCUCCCCUGCUGCUCCUGCCCAAGCACCUGAGCAUCCUUUGCACCAGAACAGGAUUGGGAAUCUAGAGCCCAUGGGCCGAAUCUGGUCUGCCACCUGUCUUUGUAAAUAAAGUUUUGUUGGGACACAGUCACGCUUGUUUGUUUAUGCCUCGUCCAUCACAGGUUUUACACUGGGAUGGAGGUUUAGUGUCUGUGAUAGGGACUGCAAAACUGAAAAUAUUUACCCUCUGGCCUUUACAGAGAAAGGCUGGGGAUCCCUGCUGUAGACCCCCCACUGUCCUGCCUCCCCGUUCUCCAAGAUCUCAGGCUGAGAAUUGUUGCUGUCCAUUUCCAUGGGCUCCGUUCUCUUUGGUCCACCUGAGAGGCCGAGGGGGUCUGUCUCCCCAGGCACUGAUGGCCGUCCUGCUGGGGCCUGGGAGGGUACCGCACAG